Molecule: non-coding RNA, 252 nt
Organism: Pelobates cultripes (western spadefoot toad)
Lineage: Eukaryota; Metazoa; Chordata; Amphibia; Anura; Pelobatidae
Source: the annotation of a GenBank genome assembly
CAGUACAAGUCCCAAUGGAUUCCUGUAACUGCGGUAAAGAAAAAGGAGAAUGUAUCCAGGACACCUACUGGCUGGGACUCAGUUCAAGUAACAUGAGAAAUUACUGUGUGCCAGAUUAAUUUGGGGGGGAAAAUGAAUACGCUACACCGGAUGAUGAUUAUCGCUUCCAUACUCAGAAAUCAUUAUUUUCUCACCAGUGGCAAAAUCUCCAGCUAUAUUUAUGUAUAUCAAUAAAGAUUGGAAUAAUGCUGA